This 796-nucleotide unclassified non-coding RNA is filed under the name uncultured Prochlorococcus sp. Its description in RNAcentral is "partial 16S-23S ribosomal RNA intergenic spacer; may also contain 16S ribosomal RNA and 23S ribosomal RNA". The stretch from base 1 to 93 matches the Rfam family "Bacterial small subunit ribosomal RNA", at positions 1441 to 1533 of the family's 1533-position model. Lineage: Bacteria; Bacillati; Cyanobacteriota; Cyanophyceae; Synechococcales; Prochlorococcaceae. The record is from RNAcentral.
UUGUGGAGGAGGACGCCGAAGGUGGGGCUGAUGACUGGGGUGAAGUCGUAACAAGGUAGCCGUACCGGAAGGUGCGGCUGGAUCACCUCCUAACAGGGAGACAAAACUGAUUAUGAUGUCUGAUUUUAAAACUUAGGCCUUAAUCCUGUCACCUUAGGUCGAUCGGUACCUCAGAUUAAUAACUUUAAAAACUGAGAAAUCAUCUUUUAAGAAAUUUAGUUUUAGUUCCUAAACUUGUCUAGGUCACACCCAACAAGCAUUUCUCCUGGGCUAUUAGCUCAGGUGGUUAGAGCGCACCCCUGAUAAGGGUGAGGUCCCUGGUUCAAGUCCAGGAUGGCCCAUUCGUUGUUGGGGGUAUAGCUCAGUUGGUAGAGCGCCUGCUUUGCAAGCAGGAUGUCAGCGGUUCGAGUCCGCUUACCUCCACUGAUUAACUGCCUGAUAACUCAAUUUGGAGAUUGUCGUUUGUUGAAUGUGAUUUAGAGUUGUUCCACUGAAUGGAACCUAGCUUCCUAUCAUUCCUCGAAGUUUCGAAGGUUGAUAAGACGCUGGGCUCACUGAAUAUUUAUCAAUUAUAUUCAGUUUGAUUCAGCAGAACCUUGACAACUGCAUAGGAAAGUCUGGAAAAGAAUUAAAGCAUCUCAUAGAUGCAUAUAAAACUAAAUUUUCAGAAUUAUCUGAAAAAUAAUUUUUUUUAUAUGUUCAAUUCUUGAGUUAGAGCAUAAUUAUCUAUAAAUUAAAUAUUUGCUUUUUUAAGUAAAUAACUAAUAAUUAUAGAUGUUUAAAGGUCAAGCUACAA